UGUUCGAGCGUCAUUAAUACCAAUCUAGCCCGGCUAGGUGUUGGGCUUCGCCGUCUGGCGGGCCUUAAAAUCAGUGGCGGUGCUCUGCAGCUCUACGCGUAGUAAUUUUUCUCGCUAUAGGGCCUGUGGAGAUGCUUGCCAGCAACCCCAAAUUUUUCUAGGUUGACCUCGGAUCAGGUAGGGAUACCCGCUGAACUUAA
Molecule: unclassified non-coding RNA, 200 nt
Filed under: soil metagenome
Description: partial contains internal transcribed spacer 2 and large subunit ribosomal RNA
Source: RNAcentral